AGAGUUUGAUCAUGGCUCAGGAUGAACGCUAGCGGCAGGCUUAACACAUGCAAGUCGAGGGGUAUGGUUCUUCGGAACCCAGAGACCGGCGCACGGGUGCGUAACGCGUAUGCAAUCUACCUUUUACAGAGGGAUAGCCCAGAGAAAUUUGGAUUAAUACCUCAUAGUAUAAUGACUCGGCAUCGAGAUAUUAUUAAAGUCACAACGGUAAAAGAUGAGCAUGCGUCCCAUUAGCUAGUUGGUAAGGUAACGGCUUACCAAGGCUACGAUGGGUAGGGGUCCUGAGAGGGAGAUCCCCCACACUGGUACUGAGACACGGACCAGACUCCUACGGGAGGCAGCAGUGAGGAAUAUUGGACAAUGGGCGCAAGCCUGAUCCAGCCAUGCCGCGUGCAGGAUGACGGUCCUAUGGAUUGUAAACUGCUUUUAUACGAGAAGAAACACUCCGACGUGUCGGAGCUUGACGGUAUCGUAAGAAUAAGGAUCGGCUACUCCGUGCCAGCAGCCGCGGUAAUACGGAGGAUCCAAGCGUUAUCCGGAAUCAUUGGGUUUAAAGGGUCCGUAGGCGGUUUAAUAAGUCAGUGGUGAAAGCCCAUCGCUCAACGGUGGAACGGCCAUUGAUACUGUUAAACUUGAAUUAUUAGGAAGUAACUAGAAUAUGUAGUGUAGCGGUGAAAUGCUUAGAGAUUACAUGGAAUACCAAUUGCGAAGGCAGGUUACUACUAAUGGAUUGACGCUGAUGGACGAAAGCGUGGGUAGCGAACAGGAUUAGAUACCCUAGUAGUCC
Molecule: ribosomal RNA, 787 nt
Filed under: uncultured bacterium
Lineage: Bacteria
Description: bacterial SSU rRNA
Rfam family: Bacterial small subunit ribosomal RNA
Source: RNAcentral